RNAcentral lists this ribosomal RNA (408 nucleotides) under uncultured bacterium. RNAcentral describes it as "partial 16S ribosomal RNA". It matches the Rfam family "Bacterial small subunit ribosomal RNA", at positions 29 to 526 of the family's 1533-position model. The record is from RNAcentral.
AGUGAACGCUGGCGGCGUGCCUAAUACAUGCAAGUCGAACGGAGUGGCGCCCGGGUGAGUAAUAUAUAGCUAAAUUGCCCAUUACUAAGGGACAACAGUUGGAAACGAAUGCUAAUACCUUAUAGGAAUGGAUAGGGCUAUAGCGUAUCAGCUAGUUGGUAAGGUAACGGCUUACCAAGGCUCUGACGCGUAACUGGUCUGAGGGGGUGAUCAGUCACACGGGAACUGAGACACGGUCCAGACACCUGCGGGAGGUAGCAGUAGGGAGUAAUGCUCAAGGGGGGAAGCCCUGAGGCAGCAACGCCGCGUGGAGGAGUACACUUUUCGGAGCGUAGACUCCGUUUCUUGGGAAAGCGGUACCCAAGGAAUAAGCACCGGCUAACUCCGUGCCAGCAGCCGCGGUAAUAC